RNAcentral lists this ribosomal RNA (403 nucleotides) under uncultured eukaryote. RNAcentral's name for it is "SSU rRNA". It matches the Rfam family "Eukaryotic small subunit ribosomal RNA", at positions 587 to 972 of the family's 1831-position model. The record is from RNAcentral.
AGCUCCAAUAGCGUAUAUUAAAGUUGUUGCAGUUAAAAAGCUCGUAGUCGGAUUUCGGGUCGGGCCGAGCGGUCUGCCGAUGGGUAUGCACUGUUUGGCGCGGCCUUCUUUCCGGAGACCGCGGCUACUCUUAACUGAGCGGGCGUGGGAGACGGAUCGUUUACUUUGAAAAAAUCAGAGUGUUUCAAGCAGGCAGCUCGCUCUUGCAUGGAUUAGCAUGGAUAAUUGAAUAGAGUCCUAUUGGAUAAUUGAAUAGGACUCUGGUGCUAUUUUGUUGGUUUCGAACACCGGAGUAAUGAUUAACAGGGACAGUCAGGGGCACUCGUAUUCCGUCGAGAGAGGUGAAAUUCUCAGACCAAUGGAAGACGAACCACUGCGAAAGCAUUUGCCAGGGAUGUUUUCA